Molecule: non-coding RNA, 395 nt
Organism: Pelobates cultripes (western spadefoot toad)
Lineage: Eukaryota; Metazoa; Chordata; Amphibia; Anura; Pelobatidae
Source: the annotation of a GenBank genome assembly
GUUAAAUCCCUUUGUUUAUGAACCCUAGUCACACCUCCCUGCAUGUGACUUGCACAGCCUUCCAUAAACACUUCCUGUAAAGAGAGCCCUAUUUAGGCUUUCUUUAUUGCAAGUUCUGUUUAAUUAAGAUUUUCUUAUCCCCUGCUAUGUUAAUAGCUUGCUAGACCCUGCAAGAGCCUCCUGUAUGUGAUUAAAGUUCAAUUUAGAGAUUGAGAUACAAUUAUUUAAGGUAAAUUACAUCUGUUUGAAAGUGAAACCAGUUUUUUUUUUUUUUUCAUGCAGGCUCUGUCAAUCAUAGCCAGGGGAGGUGUGGCUAGGGCUGCAUAAACAGAAACAAAGUGAUUUAACUCCUAAAUGGCAGUGAAUUGAGCAGUGAAAUUGCAGGGGAAUGAUCU